This 89-nucleotide transfer RNA is filed under the name Posidoniimonas corsicana. Its description in RNAcentral is "Planctomycetes bacterium KOR34 tRNA-Ser". It matches the Rfam family "tRNA". Rfam says of the family: Transfer RNA (tRNA) molecules are approximately 80 nucleotides in length. Their secondary structure includes four short double-helical elements and three loops (D, anti-codon, and T loops). Further hydrogen bonds mediate the characteristic L-shaped molecular structure. tRNAs have two regions of fundamental functional importance: the anti-codon, which is responsible for specific mRNA codon recognition, and the 3' end, to which the tRNAs corresponding amino acid is attached (by aminoacyl-tRNA synthetases). tRNAs cope with the degeneracy of the genetic code in two manners: having more than one tRNA (with a specific anti-codon) for a particular amino acid; and 'wobble' base-pairing, i.e. permitting non-standard base-pairing at the 3rd anti-codon position. Lineage: Bacteria; Pseudomonadati; Planctomycetota; Planctomycetia; Pirellulales; Lacipirellulaceae. The record is from RNAcentral.
GGAAGGGCAAGCCAACGGGCGAUGGCAGCUGCCUCGAAAGCAGUCGAGCGCCGAGCGCGCCUUGUGAGUUCGACUCUCACUCCUUCCGC